RNAcentral lists this long non-coding RNA (142 nucleotides) under Ictidomys tridecemlineatus (thirteen-lined ground squirrel). Its description in RNAcentral is "lncRNA (ENSSTOG00000031102.1)". Lineage: Eukaryota; Metazoa; Chordata; Mammalia; Rodentia; Sciuridae. The record is from RNAcentral.
UUCAGUGGAGCCUCCAGCUUCUGAACUAGAUGAAAAACACAGUCCUGUGGAUCACCAAGUCCAGAUUUGGACAAAGAAAAACUAGUUCAGGGCUGAGACUGAGAGCUGAUACAUUUCAAGGAGGACCGGCCGGCUGCACUUG